CCCUUCAGAGGGGGACAACAGUUGGAAACGACUGCUAAUACCGCAUACGAUCUAAUCUCGGCAUCGAGGAUAGAUGAAAGGUGGCCUCUACAUGUAAGCUAUCACUGAAGGAGGGGAUUGCGUCUGAUUAGCUAGUUGGAGGGGUAACGGCCCACCAAGGCGAUGAUCAGUAGCCGGUCUGAGAGGAUGAACGGCCACAUUGGGACUGAGACACGGCCCAG
RNAcentral lists this ribosomal RNA (221 nucleotides) under uncultured bacterium. Its description in RNAcentral is "partial 16S ribosomal RNA". It matches the Rfam family "Bacterial small subunit ribosomal RNA", at positions 129 to 334 of the family's 1533-position model. RNAcentral also lists the same sequence under 1 other name. The record is from RNAcentral.